CCCCCCCCCCCUGGUUCACAAAAUUUGAGUUCGAGAAUUUUUUUAUUAUGCUACAUUAGAAAUACCCAGAGAAGCUAUAUACAACAAAAAGUGGAUACUAAUAGCUGUUUUGCGAAAUUAAGAGCAAUUUCAAAUCUGUUCAGUUAUUUUUGAUACACUCUGUAUAACAAAACACUUAAUGUCUGUUCCUUUGAGAAAUAGUUUCGUUUCUCGUCCAAUCUCAAUGUUUACCUCGACUUCGUCUCGGAAAACUUGAGACUCUCGGGGAAACAAAACGAUUUCCCUCGGGAGCAGACAUGAG
Molecule: non-coding RNA, 301 nt
Organism: Paramuricea clavata
Lineage: Eukaryota; Metazoa; Cnidaria; Anthozoa; Malacalcyonacea; Plexauridae
Source: the annotation of a GenBank genome assembly